Molecule: transfer RNA, 17 nt
Filed under: Oreopanax sanderianus
Lineage: Eukaryota; Viridiplantae; Streptophyta; Magnoliopsida; Apiales; Araliaceae
Also listed under: 13 other names
Description: partial tRNA-His
Source: RNAcentral
AAUAAUAGUAGGGGGGC